GGGGGACAACGUUUCGAAAGGAACGCUAAUACCGCAUACGUCCUACGGGAGAAAGCAGGGGACCUUCGGGCCUUGCGCUAUCAGAUGAGCCUAGGUCGGAUUAGCUAGUUGGUGAGGUAAUGGCUCACCAAGGCUACGAUCCGUAACUGGUCUGAGAGGAUGAUCAGUCACACUGGAACUGAGACACGGUCCAGACUCCUACGGGAGGCAGCAGUGGGGAAUAUUGGACAAUGGGCGAAAGCCUGAUCCAGCCAUGCCGCGUGUGUGAAGAAGGUCUUCGGAUUGUAAAGCACUUUAAGUUGGGAGGAAGGGCAGUAAGUUAAUACCUUGCUGUUUUGACGUUACCGACAGAAUAAGCACCGGCUAACUCUGUGCCAGCAGCCGCGGUAAUACAGAGGGUGCAAGCGUUAAUCGGAAUUACUGGGCGUAAAGCGCGCGUAGGUG
Molecule: ribosomal RNA, 444 nt
Filed under: uncultured Pseudomonas sp.
Lineage: Bacteria; Pseudomonadati; Pseudomonadota; Gammaproteobacteria; Pseudomonadales; Pseudomonadaceae
Description: bacterial SSU rRNA
Rfam family: Bacterial small subunit ribosomal RNA
Source: RNAcentral